AGAGAGGCUUCCACGGUUUACCGUUUGGGGGCCUUUUUCUUUUGC
This is a non-coding RNA of Rhizobium sp. 58, 45 nucleotides long. NCBI's taxonomy places the organism in Bacteria, Pseudomonadati, Pseudomonadota, Alphaproteobacteria, Hyphomicrobiales, Rhizobiaceae. The record is from Rfam.